UGAAUACGAGACGCUAAGGCGUUGAAGUAGUGUAUGUCAUACUUCCAAGAAAAGCUUGCACUGUCAUAGAUAAAAAACGCCUGUACCAUAACCGACACAGGUGGGUAGGUAGAGUAUACUAAGGGGCGCGAGAUAACUCUCUCUAAGGAACUCGGCGAAAUAACUCCGUAACUUCGGGAGAAGGAGUGCCUUAUUUAUAAGGCUGCAAUAACAAGAUCCAAGCAACUGUUUAUCAAAAACACAGGUCUCCGCUAAGUCGUAAGACGAUGUAUGGGGGCUGACGCCUGCCCAGUGCCAGAAGGUUAAAGAAGUUGGUUAGCAAUAGCGAAGCUGAUAACUGAAGCCCUGGUGAACGGCGGCCGUAACGAUAACGGUCCUAAGGUAGCGAAAUUCCUUGUCGGGUAAGUUCCGACCCGCACGAAAGGCGUAAUGAUUUGGAUACUGUCUCGGAGAGGGGCUCGGUGAAAUAGACUUGUCUGUGAAGAUGCGGACUACCUGCACCAGGACAGAAAGACCCUAUGAAGCUUUACUGUAACUUGAAAUUGAAAUUUGACUUUAUUCGCGCAGUAUAGGUGGGAGGCGUUGAUUGUAAUCUUGCGGGAUUAUUGGAGCCAUCAGUGAGAUACCACCCUUGUAAUGUUAGAUUUCUAACUUUGAAUCAUUAUCUGGUCAAAGAACAGUUUCAGGCGGGCAGUUUGACUGGGGCGGUCGCCUCCUAAACGGUAACGGAGGCGUACAAAGGUUUCCUCUGAACGGUUAGAAAUCGUAUCUAGAGUGUAAAGGCAUAAGGAAGCUUGACUGUGAGACCUACAAGUCGAGCAGGGACGAAAGUCGGUCUUAGUGAUCUGACGGUACUGAGUGGAAAGGCCGUCACUCAACGGAUAAAAGUUACUCUAGGAUAACAGGCUGAUCUCCCCCAAGAGUUCACAUCGACGGGGAGGUUUGGCACCUCGAUGUCGGCUCAUCGCAUCCUGGGGCGGUAGUACGUCUCAAGGGUUGGGCUGUUCGCCCAUGAAAGCGGUACGCGAGCUGGGUUCAGAACGUCGUGAGACAGUUCGGUCCAUAUCCGGUGUAGGCGUUAGAAUAUUGAGAGGAGCCUUCUUUAGUACGAGAGGACCGAGAAGGACAUACCUCUGGUGUACCAGUUAUCGUGCCAACGGUAAACGCUGGGUAGCUAUGUAUGGAGUGGAUAACCGCUGAAAGCAUCUAAGUGGGAAGCCCACCUCAAGAUAAGUAUUCUC
RNAcentral lists this ribosomal RNA (1241 nucleotides) under metagenome. RNAcentral describes it as "bacterial LSU rRNA". It matches the Rfam family "Bacterial large subunit ribosomal RNA", at positions 1564 to 2815 of the family's 2925-position model. The record is from RNAcentral.